GGGGGAAUAAGUAGGUGCAUAAUUGUUAUAAGUGAGUAAAUAAGGGUUACACUGUAGGCUUAAAAGUGUAUCAUUGCAUAAAGUUGCACCGGAUGUUGAGGUUUAGAUGAUGUAAUGACUUGUGUGUUUUGGAAUUAUUUGCUGAUGUUGCCUCGACUGUUUUCAUCUGUGAAGCCUUAAGGCAGGCAGGGACAGUCCAGGCUGCUCAUAUACAAAGCCAGCACGUUUCACUCUGUCUGCAGCAGCCGAGCGGUGCUGAGCAACACCUCCAGCAUCACCUCCACCACCAGCACCAGCAGCAGCAGAAGCAGCACAAGCAGCGGAUCGGGGAGGGUUUUGAAGCACAGUUGGAGCACCGACGACGCAUAUCAACACUCCCAGACUCGAGACCAGUCGAUAAUGAUGCCGACUGGCGGGUUGCUGGUUGCCGGUUGCCGGUGACACGAGCGCCGACGGAGGCUGUUGAAUGAACGAGCCGCUGUCCAAGGUGCUGAAACGCUGUCGGACCGUCGUUGUCUUUUUCCAGUCGAGACGAUACGCAUGAACUGACGUGAAUGCCGAGCAGCACAACACAGCAGCACAAGAGUUCGGCGGUUAACACAGCACCCCCGGACAGAGUAAAUGGGACCGCACGUCUUCCCAGCGUUAGAAAAAUGGAGAGAAUUUUCCUGCUCGUCCUCAGCUGUCUCGGCGUCUCUCGAGUCACAGGGGAUAGCUUGUCACCUCCUGUCAAUGUGACCAUCAAAGAGGUGAAAGCAAAGUCUGCUGUGGUGACAUGGGACAUCCCGGAGGGAGACAACGUCAUCGGCUUUGCCAUCACACAGCAGAAGAAAGACGUGCACAUGCUGCGGUUCAUCCAGGAAGUCAACACCACCACACGCUCCUGUGCAUUAUGGGACUUGGACGAGGAAACGGAUUAUAUUGUGCAUGUGCAGUCCAUCAGUAUGUCGGGUACGAGCCCGCUGAGCGAACCCCUGCGCUUUCGAACACCAAAGGAGGCCGAGACUCAGGCGUCUAAGAGUAAAGACGAAGUGACCAUGGAAGAAGUGGGCCAGACCACCCAGCUGAGGGCAGGGGAGCUCAUAAUCAUUGUGGUGGUACUCAUCAUGUGGGCAGGUGUGAUCGCUCUCUUCUGUCGUCAGUAUGAUAUAAUCAAAGACAACGAGCCCAACAACAACAAGGACAAAGCCAAAAACUCCUCAGAGUGCAGCACUCCUGAACAUCCAACAGGGGGGCUGUUGCGCAGUAAGGUAUAACCCACCCCCCUCCUUUCCCCGGGUGCCUCCCCCUCCGCGGCGCCGGGCAGUUCCCCAAGAACAACAACAACAACAACAGGAUGCCAUCUGUCAACAUCAUUGAGGUGUGACUGCCAGGACGUCUUCUCUUUAUCUGCAAGACUUUGUGCUCUCACAAACAACCAGGCCCCUUUUAAGCCCAUCUGCUUGUCAGGAUGAGGCCGGGAUGCUGGGCCCCCUCGAUGGCGCCAACUCUCCUUUGGCACGGGGCCCGGUUCUGGGGCAAAGCUGCAGGGCUUCUAGGACCAGGCAUAGUGUGGCUGGUGCAGGUCUGAGAGCCCACAGCGCAGAGACAGUGGCGUGGGUUCAGUGGCUCCACGGUGUUCAGUAAUUCCGGUGCCAUGGGGCAGCAGAGAUUAGGGCCAAAUGGCUCCGACGGUGGAGAGACUGCUGAAAAACCAACCCCAGGGACCAAAGCCGAUAUACAGAGCCAGACACCUUUUCAUUCUGUUUCUCUUCCCAUGUUACUUCUUUCCUCUCACUGUCUUUCAUUAUGUUAUAAACACAAACAUGUCCAAUUAGUCCACUCUACUGCGCUCCUAUUCUUGUUUAGUCCAAAGUAAACACUGUUUCAUCAUUUAAGUGUUUUUUUACGCUAAUUUUUACAAGGUGCCACCAGAACAUUUCUGUUGUUCUGGUUUUCUCUUUUCUUCUUCUUUUUCUGUUUAGAUUCCCCCAGUGGCAGAAACUCUUUUGCCACCCUGUGGGAAACAUUUUGAUUCUGCGAGCUUGUUUCCCCCCUCAGGGAAUCCAGACUCCACCUGGCUAAUUUAGGAGCCAUUUCUUAGAUGUGCUUUGAUGACGCCAGAGCAGCUUUAGAGGGAUCACUCCACUCACCACCGGAGCUGAAUCAUCCAAUCAUGUCAGAAAAGAAGAAACUCAUUAACUCUGAGGAUGGCUGGAGAAAGUAUCUGAUCUAAACACAUAUAUACAGUGAAGUCCAUAACGUGACAGGUUUGGAAUGAGCUCUGUCACAUUUACUUUUGUGGAAAUGUCCUCUAACUUCUUUCACGCUUUUCUUACAGAUUUCUAAAAUGUUACAUUCCAUGUCCAGGAUGAGCCCUUUAGUAUUUCCUUGUGUCUUUCUCUUUGGAGGUGAUUAUUGUCAAAGUGUUGUGGGGACGAAAACGAACUGCCAUAAAGGAGUGCAUUUGUCUAAUUAAUGACUUUGUCUUCAGAAGGGGCUGGACGCAUGUCUAAGGGAUCCCUUAUAUCAGCAAUAACAGCCUUCAGUGAAGCACGGAAGCAAGAACUUGAACUUGGGAAAUUUGCGCGCACACAGUAGCCCCUUCGUACAAAAACUCGACCUCCCAGCAUGCAAAGUUCAGAUAAACAGCUGUAUGUUGUAAGAGCGCAUGCAAAAAUGAGGAAACCUACCAUGAGCCUAAUUUCCAGGUGAUCUGUGUGUGAACUUUCAGAGGAGCGUCUCUAAGCUAUAAACAUUCUGAUCGAGAGCAUGGAAAUAACUUCGUAUGGGCCCAGCCUUUGAUCCUGAGACUUCACUUAGAUGUCUUGAACAGACAUCACCAAGACAGAAGGGCUUCUAUUGAGACUUUUUCUCAAUUCAAAGUCAACAUUUGUGUUGCAGAGGCUAAAACAACUAUAAGGGAUCAACUUUUGCCAUAUGUUACUGUGCACUGUAUACUGUAUGAGAUAUGGUUCAGCCUCCAACAGACUGCGUUGGGGCGUGAGGUAAUAAGAAAAUGGUUUAUUUGAGGGCUGUUUCAAAUUCAGUAGUUACUGCCUUAAAAAUAAUAAAAUCUCAUGAUUUCUUUCGUAAGACGGUAGGCCCUGUAUGUCACAUUUGCAUCAUACUCUUAACCUUAAAAGGAAGUAAGUGAUGAAGAACAGGUAAAUCUCCUUCUGUCAGGUGGUUUGUUGAAAAGCUCUCGACAUUUCAAUUUGUAAAUACAUUUUAUAUUUCAUUCUUGUUUGUCGGUGUCAGUUUUAAGAGCCUUUGAUGAAAUAUGAUAUGACAAAUGUGGAAAAUGUAACUUUAAGAAGGUACUGGUACAAGUGAAAAGUGUAGGUGAUAUUUUUAAAAGCAACUGUAAAAGUCCAGAUAUUAAUAAGCUUUUCAUAUCCUUUCUCAACUGUUAUGUACUUCUCUUACAUUAUUUCAUUGCGCUGCUGAUGUGCACAAAGGAGAGACUCUUUUCAUUGGGGAAAAAAAAAAAAAGAAUGAAAAGUGAUGGAUGUUUCUUAUCAUUGACCACGGUGUUCUGAAAGCAUAUUAGUCAAGAGCUUUUCAGAUGUUGAAUAUCUGUAUUGACCGAAAGAACAAGUAGUCUUUUUCAGCCCAAACUGUGUCCUUCUGUGAUCCAGUGGGUAGUCAUCUGUUGUAAACACAGACACAUACUGUACAUGUGUGCACACAAACAUAACAGGUCACAAGUCCCUGUCAAUGCACAAAGUCUGAAGUGUCGGGGGGAAGAGGGAGGCAGUGAAGGCAGUUAGGGGAGAGCAAUGAAGGUUACGGUUGAGCAGAGUGGGCAGAAUGAUGACUAAUGCAAUGGCAGGCUUUUAUCACUCUGCCUCUCUCCCCUUCCACUUCUACUUUUGUUAUGAGUGGAAAAGCUCAGCUCCUCCAAUAAGCACUGAUUCGUGUCAGAGGCUCGAGUGGGUUUAAAGCAAUGGCAAAAAGUGGUGGUGGUGGUGGGGGG
This is an RNA transcript of Sphaeramia orbicularis (orbiculate cardinalfish), 3958 nucleotides long. It is a transcript of the gene named fibronectin type III domain containing 5a, with no coding region annotated. NCBI's taxonomy places the organism in Eukaryota, Metazoa, Chordata, Actinopteri, Kurtiformes, Apogonidae. The transcript has 6 exons. The record is from RefSeq and is a predicted model, not a curated record.